This 240-nucleotide ribosomal RNA is filed under the name uncultured bacterium. Its description in RNAcentral is "partial 16S ribosomal RNA". It matches the Rfam family "Bacterial small subunit ribosomal RNA", at positions 94 to 334 of the family's 1533-position model. The record is from RNAcentral.
AGCGGCGGACGGGUGAGUAACGCGUGGGUAACCUGCCUCAUACAGGGGGGUAACAGUUAGAAAUGACUGCUAAUACCGCAUAAGCGCACAGUACCACAUGGUACGGUGUGAAAAACUCCGGUGGUAUGAGAUGGACCCGCGUCUGAUUAGCUAGUUGGUGGGGUAACGGCCCACCAAGGCGACGAUCAGUAGCCGACCUGAGAGGGUGACCGGCCACAUUGGGACUGAGACACGGCCCAA